UACGGAGGAUGCGAGCGUUAUCCGGAUUUAUUGGGUUUAAAGGGUGCGUAGGCGGACUGUCAAGUCAGCGGUAAAAUUGAGAGGCUCAACCUCUUCCCGCCGUUGAAACUGGUGGUCUUGAGUGGAUGAGAAGUACGCGGAAUGCGUGGUGUAGCGGUGAAAUGCAUAGAUAUCACGCAGAACUCCGAUUGCGAAGGCAGCGUACCGGCAUCCAACUGUCGCUGAGGCACGAAAGCGUGGGGAUCAAACAGG
RNAcentral lists this ribosomal RNA (252 nucleotides) under uncultured bacterium. Its description in RNAcentral is "partial 16S ribosomal RNA". It matches the Rfam family "Bacterial small subunit ribosomal RNA", at positions 524 to 776 of the family's 1533-position model. The record is from RNAcentral.